This 385-nucleotide ribosomal RNA is filed under the name uncultured bacterium. Its description in RNAcentral is "bacterial SSU rRNA". It matches the Rfam family "Bacterial small subunit ribosomal RNA", at positions 30 to 417 of the family's 1533-position model. The record is from RNAcentral.
AUUGAACGCUGGCGGCAUGCCUUACACAUGCAAGUCGAACGGCAGCACGGGGCAACCUGGUGGCGAGUGGCGAACGGGUGAGUAAUGCAUCGGAACGUGCCAUUGAGUGGGGGAUAACGUAGCGAAAGUUGCGCUAAUACCGCAUAUUCUGUGAGCAGGAAAGCAGGGGACCGCAAGGCCUUGCGCUCUUUGAGCGGCCGAUGUCAGAUUAGCUAGUUGGUGAGGUAACGGCUUACCAAGGCGACGAUCUGUAGCGGGUCUGAGAGGAUGAUCCGCCACACUGGAACUGAGACACGGUCCAGACUCCUACGGGAGGCAGCAGUGGGGAAUUUUGGGCAAUGGGCGAAAGCCUGAUCCAGCCAUGCCGCGUGAGUGAAGAAGGCCU